UUCUCUAUGAGCCAGCUCAGUCAGCAGAGCACGAGACCUUUAAUGCCGGGGUCAUGGGUUCAAGCCCCACGUUGGGGAAG
Non-coding RNA from Podarcis lilfordi (Lilford's wall lizard), 80 nucleotides. Lineage: Eukaryota; Metazoa; Chordata; Lepidosauria; Squamata; Lacertidae. The record is from the annotation of a GenBank genome assembly.